This 84-nucleotide microRNA precursor is filed under the name Marmota monax (woodchuck). The record is from RNAcentral. Lineage: Eukaryota; Metazoa; Chordata; Mammalia; Rodentia; Sciuridae.
GGGCAGAGGAUGCUUUCUCUCUCUCUCUCUCUCUCUUUUUUUUUUUUUAAAGAGAGUGAGAGAGAGAGAGAAUUUUUUUUUAAU